This 205-nucleotide ribosomal RNA is filed under the name Vibrio splendidus. RNAcentral's name for it is "partial 16S ribosomal RNA". It matches the Rfam family "Bacterial small subunit ribosomal RNA", at positions 1 to 189 of the family's 1533-position model. RNAcentral also lists the same sequence under 2 other names. Lineage: Bacteria; Pseudomonadati; Pseudomonadota; Gammaproteobacteria; Vibrionales; Vibrionaceae. The record is from RNAcentral.
AAAUUGAAGAGUUUGAUCAUGGCUCAGAUUGAACGCUGGCGGCAGGCCUAACACAUGCAAGUCGAGCGGAAACGACACUAACAAUCCUUCGGGUGCGUUAAUGGGCGUCGAGCGGCGGACGGGUGAGUAAUGCCUAGGAAAUUGCCUUGAUGUGGGGGAUAACCAUUGGAAACGAUGGCUAAUACCGCAUAAUGCCUACGGGCCA